GAAGUGCGAUAAGCAAUGCGAAUUGCAGAACCGUGAGUCAUCAGAUUUUUGAACGCAACUGGCGCCGACUGGCUCUCCAGUCGGCAUGCUUGUUUCAGUGUCUCUUUAUCUCAUCACCCAGAUCAUAAUGCGAGAGAUACCCUUCUCUUGCUAAGCAUGAAAGCACUCUGCGCUCUGCGAGCGACUUUGACUAGUUCGAGGUCGCACUCAAUGCAGCAGUCACAUUGCUCACAAUGUGAACUCAUUGAGAGCUGAGGCAGUGCGGUGCAAACCGCCAGUGCUUAGUCACACAAACUUUCUUUGCAUCUGAAAUCAAGCAGGAUCACCCGCUGAACUUAAGC
RNAcentral lists this unclassified non-coding RNA (341 nucleotides) under plant metagenome. RNAcentral describes it as "partial contains 5.8S ribosomal RNA, internal transcribed spacer 2, and large subunit ribosomal RNA". The stretch from base 1 to 103 matches the Rfam family "5.8S ribosomal RNA", at positions 50 to 154 of the family's 154-position model. The record is from RNAcentral.